GAUGAACGCUGGCGGCGUGCUUAACACAUGCAAGUCGAACGGGAAACCUUUUAUUGAAGCUUCGGCAGAUUUAGCUGGUUUCUAGUGGCGGACGGGUGAGUAACGCGUGGGUAACCUGCCCUAUACAGGGGGAUAACAACCAGAAAUGGUUGCUAAUACCGCAUAAGCGCACAGGGCCGCAUGGUCCGGUGUGAAAAACUCCGGUGGUAUAGGAUGGACCCGCGUUGGAUUAGCCAGUUGGCAGGGUAACGGCCUACCAAAGCGACGAUCCAUAGCCGGCCUGAGAGGGUGAACGGCCACAUUGUGACUGAGACACGGCCCAGACUCCUACGGGAGGCAGCAGUGGGGAAUAUUGCACAAUGGGGGAAACCCUGAUGCAGCGACGCCGCGUGAAGGAAGAAGUAUCUCGGUAUGUAAACUUCUAUCAGCAGGGAAGAUAGUGACGGUACCUGACUAAGAAGCCCCGGCUAACUACGUG
RNAcentral lists this ribosomal RNA (478 nucleotides) under uncultured bacterium. RNAcentral's name for it is "partial 16S ribosomal RNA". It matches the Rfam family "Bacterial small subunit ribosomal RNA", at positions 28 to 507 of the family's 1533-position model. The record is from RNAcentral.